Long non-coding RNA from Neogale vison (American mink), 1513 nucleotides. RefSeq lists it as uncharacterized. The transcript has 6 exons. The record is from RefSeq and is a predicted model, not a curated record. Lineage: Eukaryota; Metazoa; Chordata; Mammalia; Carnivora; Mustelidae.
GCCAGUGUCCCGCAGCGGCUGGCAGGCUGGGGGUCCGGAGCGCAUAAGUACGUCCCGCUGGGGAGGGCGGUCCCAGACGUCGGGAGCUGCAGCUGCCGGGAGCCGCGGGGGGGGACAGGCUCACUUCCUGACCGAAUGAAUGAGAUUUCCUUCCGGAAGAUGCUCGGAAGGGCACCCAUUACCCUUCGCAGGGAAGGAAGCCUUGGGAAUGUGGAACAGAAGGACCGUAAAUAAAGUUUCUACAUGUAAUUCUGUAAAAGGCCUGGCAGAGAGGGUCUCCCAGAGCUGUGUGGGGAUAAUCUCAGAAAAACAAAAGUGGCCCAGGACUCUUGACUAAGAGUCCUUAGUCAGACUAAGACAAGCUGGCUUAAUUUAUGACGACCUUUCCUAUGCAGCCCCCUUUAUCAGUGUCUCCUGCAGAUAUGAUUACUACAAAUCAGUCCCCAGAAACAGAGAAUCAACUUGCUGUGAAUUGAGAAAUUUGGGUCUGUGAAUUUUCAAGUUGAGGACCACAGUGUGGAUGCAGUCAGAAAACCUGUCUUCUUCAGUUUGCUCUUAACCACAACGUCUCUGCUUCUUAAGUCAGAGUGUGCUUGUAUUGAUCUGACCCAACACGUGUAUCGGCCAUAUUCUGAUGACUCUCAGAUUUAAAUCACUGGAGCUCUCCUCCCAACUUCAGACUCCUACAUCAAAGAGCAUCACAAAUGGUGGUUCCCCCAAAAUUAAAUACAAAAUUACAACAUGAUCUGGCAAUCCCACUUUGGGAAAUAGAUCCCAAAGAAUUGAAGGCAGCAUCUCAGAUAUUUGUAUAUUCAUGUUUGCAGCAGCAUUAUUCAUAACAACCGACAGGUGGUAAUAACUCCGAUGCACAUCAGGGGAUGAGUGGUAAAAGUAAACGUGGCGUACACUUAUAGCACGACAUUAUUCAGCCUUCAGGAGGAAGGAAAUGCUAACGCCUUACAACAUGGAUGAACCUGGAAGACAUUAUACUAAGUGAAAUAUACCAGCCCUGAAAAGACAAAUAUUCUAUGAUUUCACUAGAUGAAAGAGAAUGUGGCAAAACCGCAACAGCAACCUAAAGACAGUCCAAAUUCAGAGUGACAAGGAAUUUCACAUCAAAGAAGUGGAUAUGACACCGAUAUGCCCAGAUCAUUGACCUUUGCAAACAAAAUUCUGGAGCCAGAGGGAACCAUUCUGGCUCCCUCUUCAAAAGGAAGUUCGAUUGCCUUCCUGCACUAAAGAAGUUUAGAGGAUGUAUCAAGGAGUGUGUGUGUGUGUGUGUGUGUGUGUGUGUGUGUGUUUAUACCCAACAACUGAGUCUACUAUUUGGCUGGGCAAAGAAUCAAUCAGUGUCAUUUGUGUUGAGUCUCUAAAAUGUGUGAAACAUUUUUUAAUUUCAAAAUUAUCGUCCAGAAGGAAUGGUAAUAUAUGGUGAGAAUGGUAAGAAAAUGUAAAUACGGGGUGCCUGGAUGGCUCAGGGGGGUUAAGUCUCUGCCUUCAGCUCAGGUCAUGA